AGCGAACGCUGGCGGCAGGCCUAACACAUGCCAGUCGAACGAACCUUUCGGGGUUAGUGGCGGACGGGUGAGUAACACGUGGGAACGUGCCUUUAGGUUCGGAAUAACUCAGGGAAACUUGUGCUAAUACCGAAUGUGCCCUUCGGGGGAAAGAUUAAUCGCCUUUAGAGCGGCCCGCGUCUGAUUAGCUAGUUGGUUGAGGUAAUGGCUCACCAAGGCGACGAUCAGUAGCUGGUCUGAGAGGAUGAUCAGCCACAUUGGGACUGAGAUACGGCCCAAACUCCUACGGGAGGCAGCAGUGGGGAAUCUUGCGCAAUGGGCGAAAGCCUGACGCAGCCAUGCCGCGUGAAUGAUGAAGGUCUUAGGAUUGUAAAAUUCUUUCACCGGGGACGAUAAUGACGGUACCCGGAGAAGAAGCCCCGGCUAACUUCGUG
RNAcentral lists this ribosomal RNA (434 nucleotides) under uncultured bacterium. RNAcentral describes it as "partial 16S ribosomal RNA". It matches the Rfam family "Bacterial small subunit ribosomal RNA", at positions 29 to 507 of the family's 1533-position model. The record is from RNAcentral.